AGAGUUUGAUCAUGGCUCAGAUUGAACGCUGGCGGCAGGCCUAACACAUGCAAGUCGAACGGUAACAGGAAGCAGCUUGCUGCUUCGCUGACGAGUGGCGGACGGGUGAGUAAUGUCUGGGAAGCUGCCUGAUGGAGGGGGAUAACUACUGGAAACGGUAGCUAAUACCGCAUAAUGUCGCAAGACCAAAGAGGGGGACCUUCGGGCCUCUUGCCAUCGGAUGUGCCCAGAUGGGAUUAGCUUGUUGGUGGGGUAACGGCUCACCAAGGCGACGAUCCCUAGCUGGUCUGAGAGGAUGACCAGCCACACUGGAACUGAGACACGGUCCAGACUCCUACGGGAGGCAGCAGUGGGGAAUAUUGCACAAUGGGCGCAAGCCUGAUGCAGCCAUGCCGCGUGUAUGAAGAAGGCCUUCGGGUUGUAAAGUACUUUCAGCGGGGAGGAAGGGAGUAAAGUUAAUACCUUUGCUCAUUGACGUUACCCGCAGAAGAAGCACCGGCUAACUCCGUGCCAGCAGCCGCGGUAAUACGGAGGGUGCAAGCGUUAAUCGGAAUUACUGGGCGUAAAGCGCACGCAGGCGGUUUGUUAAGUCAGAUGUGAAAUCCCCGGGCUCAACCUGGGAACUGCAUCUGAUACUGGCAAGCUUGAGUCUCGUAGAGGGGGGUAGAAUUCCAGGUGUAGCGGUGAAAUGCGUAGAGAUCUGGAGGAAUACCGGUGGCGAAGGCGGCCCCCUGGACGAAGACUGACGCUCAGGUGCGAAAGCGUGGGGAGCAAACAGGAUUAGAUACCCUGGUAGUCCACGCCGUAAACGAUGUCGACUUGGAGGUUGUGCCCUUGAGGCGUGGCUUCCGGAGCUAACGCGUUAAGUCGACCGCCUGGGGAGUACGGCCGCAAGGUUAAAACUCAAAUGAAUUGACGGGGGCCCGCACAAGCGGUGGAGCAUGUGGUUUAAUUCGAUGCAACGCGAAGAACCUUACCUGGUCUUGACAUCCACGGAAGUUUUCAGAGAUGAGAAUGUGCCUUCGGGAACCGUGAGACAGGUGCUGCAUGGCUGUCGUCAGCUCGUGUUGUGAAAUGUUGGGUUAAGUCCCGCAACGAGCGCAACCCUUAUCCUUUGUUGCCAGCGGUCCGGCCGGGAACUCAAAGGAGACUGCCAGUGAUAAACUGGAGGAAGGUGGGGAUGACGUCAAGUCAUCAUGGCCCUUACGACCAGGGCUACACACGUGCUACAAUGGCGCAUACAAAGAGAAGCGACCUCGCGAGAGCAAGCGGACCUCAUAAAGUGCGUCGUAGUCCGGAUUGGAGUCUGCAACUCGACUCCAUGAAGUCGGAAUCGCUAGUAAUCGUGGAUCAGAAUGCCACGGUGAAUACGUUCCCGGGCCUUGUACACACCGCCCGUCACACCAUGGAGUGGGUUGCAAAAGAAGUAGGUAGCUUAACCUUCGGGAGGGCGCUUACCACUUUGUGAUUCAUGACUGGGGUGAAGUCGGAACAAGGUAACCGUAGGGGAACCUGCGGUUG
RNAcentral lists this ribosomal RNA (1521 nucleotides) under metagenome. RNAcentral's name for it is "bacterial SSU rRNA". It matches the Rfam family "Bacterial small subunit ribosomal RNA". The record is from RNAcentral.